RNAcentral lists this ribosomal RNA (253 nucleotides) under uncultured bacterium. Its description in RNAcentral is "partial 16S ribosomal RNA". It matches the Rfam family "Bacterial small subunit ribosomal RNA", at positions 524 to 776 of the family's 1533-position model. The record is from RNAcentral.
UACGAAGGGAGCUAGCGUUGUUCGGAAUCACUGGGCGUAAAGCGCACGUAGGCGGAUUUGUAAGUCAGGGGUGAAAUCCCGGGGCUCAACCUCGGAACUGCCUUUGAUACUGCAAACCUCGAGUCCGGAAGAGGUGGGUGGAAUUCCUAGUGUAGAGGUGAAAUUCGUAGAUAUUAGGAAGAACACCGGUGGCGAAGGCGGCCCACUGGUCCGGUACUGACGCUGAGGUGCGAAAGCGUGGGGAGCAAACAGG